This 65-nucleotide transfer RNA is filed under the name Pyrrhidium sanguineum. RNAcentral's name for it is "tRNA-His". Lineage: Eukaryota; Metazoa; Arthropoda; Insecta; Coleoptera; Cerambycidae. The record is from RNAcentral.
AUUUGGAUAGUUUAAUAAAAAUUUUAUUUAGCGUUAUUUUACCUAUUGCAGCACAAUUGCACCUA